This 73-nucleotide transfer RNA is filed under the name Cordylochernes scorpioides. Its description in RNAcentral is "tRNA-Thr". The record is from RNAcentral. Lineage: Eukaryota; Metazoa; Arthropoda; Arachnida; Pseudoscorpiones; Chernetidae.
GUCCAGGGAUGGGAAUCGAACCCACUGUGUUCAGCUUACCGGGCAGAUGCCAUGUCCACUAGGCUACCCUGGA